UAGUUACGUUGUUUGUAAUUACGAAUUAGAUCAUGGUCCCUAAGAUAAACUAAACUAUGAAAGCAGGUGUGUCGAAAAGAUAGACUAUAAACUUUGCCUCAAGGGCAUCUCCUUAAGGUAAUCUUUGGCAAUACCUUCAUUUAGUCAACAAGGCAGACGUUGUCAGUUGCUGCAGAGGCGGAGUUGGAGACUCGUCUUACUUGUGAGGAAGUUAGUUCUUGUAUUGGUUCAUAUCGGCAGGAGUCAACUGGUCAGCCCCACAGGAUAUCUAAGAUGCAGCAUUCAGCCGCUUGCAGUCCACUGUCAUCAACACUGAGAGAUUCCAUCCUUCAGUGCAGCCCUAUUCGGAAAUCGUGCUGCCAGUGCGAUUCGCCGUGGAGAGCACUGUCCCAGGCGGAUUCAGGGCGGAAUUCGUGCUGCCAGUGUCGUUCAGUGCGGAAAUCGCCUUCGCUCCGCGAUCAUUCGCGCAGUUCGUUCUCUCAGCAGGGACGCUCUAGAACAGCGCCAUUUCAGUGCGAACUGUCGAUGAUAUCGCCCUCCCGUCGCGAUUCGCAGCGCGCACCGCCUUCGCAUUGCGGUUGCUCGAAGUCGCGUUUCAGCAUCGAACCAGUACCACAAAUGUCUCUCGUGCCGCUCAACAAUUCGAGUAGACAGUGCCAGGCAAUGGGAUUCAACGCCCCUACCAGCCCUCAAUUCCAGGUGGUGAGGCAGCACAGAGUGGAGAAGACAACUACAAUGACUGCAGAAUAUCAGAUGAUGACGCUGUUUGAACAAACCUCCGUACAGAUUUUGCCGCGGCAGUGGAUGUAAUUUCUGCAGACUUCUUGGGCUUCUGCAGCGCCAGAAACAGAGGCCAGCAACAAGUGACGUCACUGCUGCGCAGUAUGGAGACGUCCUCGGCCUGCGGUGGACCCCGACCAACGCCAGGAGAGGGGACGACUCGUACCCCUUGGCGAACAUCGUGUGCCCAGUGUGAAACAGUGCUAGUUUAUUAAAAUUUAUUUUUAAAUGUGCUUUAGACAAAAGGUCCCAAGUUUCUUUUGACAAGAGUAAAAUGGCAAGUCUGUAAUAGAGAAUAAUUAGUGAUAAUUUUAUGAUCUUUUACUUUUUAAAAAAUUACUUCUGCAUAUUUAAAUUGUAAGCUCUGAUGUGAUACUGUAAGCACUAGUUCUGAUUUUCAUAUUAUAAAAACUCAAUUCAUUUGCAGGCAAUGUGUUUAAUUACUGUUAGUGUUCUAGUGCAAUAAAGUUACUUAGAAUUUUA
Molecule: long non-coding RNA, 1263 nt
Organism: Schistocerca gregaria
Lineage: Eukaryota; Metazoa; Arthropoda; Insecta; Orthoptera; Acrididae
Exons: 3
Source: RefSeq, a predicted model, not a curated record